This 440-nucleotide ribosomal RNA is filed under the name uncultured bacterium. Its description in RNAcentral is "partial 16S ribosomal RNA". It matches the Rfam family "Bacterial small subunit ribosomal RNA", at positions 338 to 795 of the family's 1533-position model. The record is from RNAcentral.
CCUACGGGAGGCAGCAGUAGGGAAUUUUGCGCAAUGGGCGAAAGCCUGACGCAGCAACGCCGCGUGAUCGAGACGCCCUUCGGGGUGUAAAGACCUGUUUGUGGGGACGAAACUUGACGGUACCCAUAGAGGAAGCACUGGCAAACUACGUGCCAGCAGCCGCGGUACUACGGGGGGUGCAAGCGUUGUCCGGAAUCUUUGGGCGUAACGGGUUCGUAGGCGGCACGAAAAGUCCGGUGUUAAAGGCAGAGGCUCAACUUCUGUACGGCACUGGAUACUUGCGAGCUAGAAUGCGGUAGAGGUAAGGGGAAGUCCUGGUGUAGCGGUGAAAUGCUUAGAUAUCAGGAGGAACAUCGGUGGCGAAGGCGCCUUACUGGUCCGUAAUUGACGCUGAGGAACGAAAGCGAGGGUAGCAAAUAGGAUUAGAUACCCUUGUAGUC